RNAcentral lists this ribosomal RNA (296 nucleotides) under uncultured bacterium. RNAcentral's name for it is "partial 16S ribosomal RNA". It matches the Rfam family "Bacterial small subunit ribosomal RNA", at positions 775 to 1067 of the family's 1533-position model. The record is from RNAcentral.
GGAUUAGAUACCCUGGUAGUCCACGCUGUAAACGAUGGACACUAGACUUGGCGGGACUUGACCCCUGCCGAGUCGGAGCUAACGCAAUAAGUGUCCCGCCUGGGAAGUACGGUCGCAAGACUAAAACUCAAAGGAAUUGACGGGGGCCCGCACAAGCGGUGGAUCAUGUGGUUUAAUUCGAAGCAACGCGAAGAACCUUACCUGGAUUUGACAUCCUCUGACAUCCGUAGAGAUACGGCUUUCGUAGCAAUACGACAGAGAGACAGGUGCUGCAUGGCUGUCGUCAGCUCGUGCCG